CGGUGCUCAGUAAGAGCUUUCUGGAAUGUCUCAAUGGCAAGAUCAUAGUCUUUUGAGCAUUUUGCAAUUUUCACCAAGGUAGUUCCCUUCCUUGUCAAGGCUCUUGAAAUCAUCUUGAAGUCUGAUCUAAGUUCUCUACCCCUCUCAACAGCUUUAUCACAGUCUUCUAUACAUUCCUCGUACUUGCCCAUCUCAAGAUAAACAGCAGCACGAUUUGUCAAAUAUGAAAUAUCCUCGUCGUCAAGCUCCAUUGCCUUCGUGUAAUGCGCAAUUGCAGUCUCGAAAUCCUUUUUUU
RNAcentral lists this unclassified non-coding RNA (295 nucleotides) under Hevea brasiliensis (rubber tree). Lineage: Eukaryota; Viridiplantae; Streptophyta; Magnoliopsida; Malpighiales; Euphorbiaceae. The record is from RNAcentral.